UGGAGAAGACAAAAUUUAUAAUGUUUAUGAUCAAGCCUGGAGAGGUGGUAAAUAAUGAUAUGGCCCAGAGUAUUUAUAAGUCCAGUAAAAAUCUGGACAAGGAUAUAUAUGGUGAUGACCUAGAAGCCAGAAUAAAGACCAACAGAUAUCAAGCCGUAUAACUCCGUUUCAGUGUUUACACCAGUGAAAACAAAGUAGUUCAGACUCUUCUCUCUUGUUCCCUAGAUUUGUUCCCGACAAGUUUUCUGGUUCAGACCACAGGCAGAGAGGCCGAGAGGAUGAGAAGGACCAGUUCAGUUUGAGGAAGAUCCUUUUGGUUUGGACAAGUUUUGGAAGAAGCCAGACAGCUUGGUGGCUCUCAAAGACCCUCAGCAGCAGCCCCAAAGAACAUGAGCAUGAAGGCAAGAAGAGGAGGAAGGAGUAGACACACAUCUCUUCAAAGCAAAUGAACUCUGAUUAUCCAUAACCCUAAUGACGCAAGUGCUAUGGGGCAACACUUUCAUUCAUAGAACAUGCUGGCCCACAUCCACAAUCAAGAUCACUGCCUUUUGUGUGACACGUAGUUCGCGUUAAUAUUUUGUGUAAGAACAGCUGCUUAUGAGUCAAGUCGUCCCAACUGCAGUGAGGUGGAGGAUGUUCACAUGUUGGAACUGUCCUGCCAAAUAAAUGUGGCCCCUGUUGCGCUGUGUUUUAAUUUGGAGUGGGGAAAAGAAGCUCUUGCUUUGUUUCAAAUAAAAACCUUUAGACAAAA
Molecule: non-coding RNA, 751 nt
Organism: Macaca mulatta (Rhesus monkey)
Lineage: Eukaryota; Metazoa; Chordata; Mammalia; Primates; Cercopithecidae
Source: RefSeq, a predicted model, not a curated record